RNAcentral lists this ribosomal RNA (1471 nucleotides) under uncultured organism. Its description in RNAcentral is "SSU rRNA". It matches the Rfam family "Bacterial small subunit ribosomal RNA". The record is from RNAcentral.
GCUGGCGGCGUGCCUAAUACAUGCAAGUCGAGCGAGCGGAACUAACAGAUUUACUUCGGUAAUGACGUUAGGAAAGCGAGCGGCGGAUGGGUGAGUAACACGUGGGGAACCUGCCCCAUAGUCUGGGAUACCACUUGGAAACAGGUGCUAAUACCGGAUAAGAAAGCAGAUCGCAUGAUCAGCUUUUAAAAGGCGGCGUAAGCUGUCGCUAUGGGAUGGCCCCGCGGUGCAUUAGCUAGUUGGUAAGGUAAAGGCUUACCAAGGCGAUGAUGCAUAGCCGAGUUGAGAGACUGAUCGGCCACAUUGGGACUGAGACACGGCCCAAACUCCUACGGGAGGCAGCAGUAGGGAAUCUUCCACAAUGGACGCAAGUCUGAUGGAGCAACGCCGCGUGAGUGAAGAAGGUUUUCGGAUCGUAAAGCUCUGUUGUUGGUGAAGAAGGAUAGAGGUAGUAACUGGCCUUUAUUUGACGGUAAUCAACCAGAAAGUCACGGCUAACUACGUGCCAGCAGCCGCGGUAAUACGUAGGUGGCAAGCGUUGUCCGGAUUUAUUGGGCGUAAAGCGAGCGCAGGCGGAAGAAUAAGUCUGAUGUGAAAGCCCUCGGCUUAACCGAGGAACUGCAUCGGAAACUGUUUUUCUUGAGUGCAGAAGAGGAGAGUGGAACUCCAUGUGUAGCGGUGGAAUGCGUAGAUAUAUGGAAGAACACCAGUGGCGAAGGCGGCUCUCUGGUCUGCAACUGACGCUGAGGCUCGAAAGCAUGGGUAGCGAACAGGAUUAGAUACCCUGGUAGUCCAUGCCGUAAACGAUGAGUGCUAAGUGUUGGGAGGUUUCCGCCUCUCAGUGCUGCAGCUAACGCAUUAAGCACUCCCGCCUGGGGAGUACGACCGCAAGGUUGAAACUCAAAGGAAUUGACGGGGGCCCGCACAAGCGGUGGAGCAUGUGGUUUAAUUCGAAGCAACGCGAAGAACCUUACCAGGUCUUGACAUCUAGUGUCAUUUGUAGAGAUACAAAGUUCCCUUCGGGGACGCUAAGACAGGUGGUGCAUGGCUGUCGUCAGCUCGUGUCGUGAGAUGUUGGGUUAAGUCCCGCAACGAGCGCAACCCUUGUUAUUAGUUGCCAGCAUUAAGUUGGGCACUCUAAUGAGACUGCCGGUGACAAACCGAAGGAAGGUGGGGAUGACGUCAAGUCAUCAUGCCCCUUAUGACCUGGGCUACACACGUGCUACAAUGGGCAGUACAACGAGAAGCGAGCCUGCGAAGGCAAGCGAAUCUCUGAAAGCUGUUCUCAGUUCGGACUGCAGUCUGCAACUCGACUGCACGAAGCUGGAAUCGCUAGUAAUCGCGGAUCAGCACGCCGCGGUGAAUACGUUCCCGGGCCUUGUACACACCGCCCGUCACACCAUGGGAGUCUGCAAUGCCCAAAGCCGGUGGCCUAACCUUCGGGAAGGAGCCGUCUAAGGCAGGGCAGAUA